GACGGCAGGCAGGGUCAGGGUCAGGUCAGGCAGAGGUUGGUAAUCCAGAGUAGUGGGACAAAGGUACAGGAUGGCAGGCAGGGUCAGGGUCAGGUCAGGCAGAGGUUGGUAAUCCAGAAUAGUGGGACAAAGGUACAGGACGGCAGGCAGG
Molecule: long non-coding RNA, 151 nt
Organism: Oncorhynchus keta (chum salmon)
Lineage: Eukaryota; Metazoa; Chordata; Actinopteri; Salmoniformes; Salmonidae
Exons: 3
Source: RefSeq, a predicted model, not a curated record